GCCCGUCAAGCCAUGAAAGCCGGGGGCGCCUGAAGUCCGUGACCGCGAGGGUCGGCCUAGGGUGAAACCGGUGAUUGGGGCGUAAGUCGUAACAAGGUACC
RNAcentral lists this ribosomal RNA (101 nucleotides) under uncultured bacterium. RNAcentral describes it as "partial 16S ribosomal RNA". It matches the Rfam family "Bacterial small subunit ribosomal RNA", at positions 1392 to 1500 of the family's 1533-position model. The record is from RNAcentral.